RNAcentral lists this long non-coding RNA (966 nucleotides) under Anas platyrhynchos platyrhynchos (common mallard). Its description in RNAcentral is "lncRNA (ENSAPLG00000024934.1)". The record is from RNAcentral. Lineage: Eukaryota; Metazoa; Chordata; Aves; Anseriformes; Anatidae.
AUCGCCUGUGACGAGGACACCGAGGACGCGAGCGGGGCCACCAGCACUGCAGGUAGCAGCUGCCGGCACGGGGGUGCUUGCCCAGGUGGCUCUGCCCGUGCCCACUGCCCACUGCCCCUGCUGCCGUGCGGAUCCCGGCCUCACGCUGCCCCUCGCCAUCCCUGCAGGUGCCAGCAGCAGCAGCAGCGUUGCCCCACUGACAGCAGUGUCGGGGAGCGUGCCGGUGCCCACGGUCCUGUGCGUGCUCCUGGGGACGUUGCUGGGCCUGGCCCUGGCAGCCCUGGCUGUGCAGGCACACCGCGCACGGCUGCAACGCCGAGACCCCGUGAAAGCCACGGAUGUUGGCGCUGAGGCCGUGUACGAGGAGCUGGAUUACAGCCUGAUGCCCGAGUACCAGGAGGUGCCCCGCCACACAGGUGGGAGCACGGUCGUCCCCAGGGCCUGGGGCUGUCCCCAUCCCUUGCCCAACACUCAGCAGCCCCUUCUCCACUGCAGGCUCCCUGUCCGAGGGCUCGGGAAUGAAGCUGCAGGACAACAACUGGGAUGGUGAAAAGGAGGAGAGCAACCCCAGAGAGGCCCCAGGUAGGGCAAGGGGCAAUCAGUAGGGACUGCAAGGCACAGGGGACCCAAGGAGAGGGGCUAUGACGGAGCAGUGGUGCUGGGGAGAUGAGGGCACACAGCCCUUGCGGCUGCGUCCUCAGCCCCGGCCCCUCCUUGCCUGGUGCAGCCGCCCCAGCCCAGCCCGGGCACGGCCCCCCGGAUGGCUACGACGAUGCUGCGGCCGUGCCGGAGGAGCCCCCCGCUCCACACGGUGGGGACACCCCGGCGCAGCCCUGCGGGGACACGGGCUAUGACGACAUUGACAUGGGCACCCUGGGGACAGCGCCGUGAGGAGGCCCUGGGGACAUGGCUGCAGGAGGGGGCUCCAGCCCCAGGGAGGGCUGGCCCUGCCCAUGGGGUCACCCG